RNAcentral lists this ribosomal RNA (253 nucleotides) under uncultured bacterium. Its description in RNAcentral is "partial 16S ribosomal RNA". It matches the Rfam family "Bacterial small subunit ribosomal RNA", at positions 524 to 776 of the family's 1533-position model. The record is from RNAcentral.
UACGGAGGGUGCAAGCGUUAUCCGGAUUUAUUGGGUUUAAAGGGUGCGUAGGCGGAAUGAUAAGUCAGAGGUGAAAGCCUACAGCUCAACUGUAGAAUUGCCUUUGAUACUGUUGUUCUUGAGUAUAUUUGAUGUGGGCGGAAUGUGUCAUGUAGCGGUGAAAUGCUUAGAUAUGACACAGAACACCGAUUGCGAAGGCAGCUCACAAAACUAUAACUGACGCUGAGGCACGAAAGCGUGGGGAUCAAACAGG